This 395-nucleotide unclassified non-coding RNA is filed under the name soil metagenome. Its description in RNAcentral is "partial contains 5.8S ribosomal RNA, internal transcribed spacer 2, and large subunit ribosomal RNA". The stretch from base 1 to 122 matches the Rfam family "5.8S ribosomal RNA", at positions 35 to 154 of the family's 154-position model. The record is from RNAcentral.
GAUGAAGAACGUAGCGAAAUGCGAUACUUGGUGUGAAUUGCAGAAUCCCGUGAACCAUCGAGUCUUUGAACGCAAGUUGCGCCCGAAGCCAUCAGGUUGAGGGCACGUCUGCCUGGGCGUCACAUAUCGUUGCCCAAUGCCUAUUGCAGUGCAAUAGGAAUUUCUAGGGCGAAUGAUGGCUUCCCGUGAGCGUUGUUGCCUCGCUGUUGGUUGAAAAUCGAGUCCUUGGUAGGGUGUGCCAUGGUAGAUGGUGGUCGAGUUAGAACGAUACCGAUCAUGUGCAUGCUCCCCAAAAUAUGGCCUCUAUGACCCACACGCGUCUUUUGACGCUCAUGACGAGACCUCAGGUCAGGCGGGGCUACCCGCUGAAUUUAAGCAUAUCAAUAAGCGGAGGA